GGAGUUGUGACUCGGUGGUAGAGCACUCGCCUAGCAUGUGUGAGGCGCUGGGUUCGAUGCUCAGCACCA
This 69-nucleotide transfer RNA is filed under the name Marmota monax (woodchuck). RNAcentral describes it as "tRNA.Ala". Lineage: Eukaryota; Metazoa; Chordata; Mammalia; Rodentia; Sciuridae. The record is from RNAcentral.